RNAcentral lists this ribosomal RNA (418 nucleotides) under bacterium enrichment culture clone ALO1_GLFRUDD03HIJE6. RNAcentral describes it as "bacterial SSU rRNA". It matches the Rfam family "Bacterial small subunit ribosomal RNA", at positions 9 to 430 of the family's 1533-position model. The record is from RNAcentral.
GAGUUUGAUCGUGGCUCAGAUUGAACGCUGGCGGCAGGCCUAACACAUGCAAGUCGAGCGGAUGACGGGAGCUUGCUCCUUGAUUCAGCGGCGGACGGGUGAGUAAUGCCUAGGAAUCUGCCUGGUAGUGGGGGACAACGUUUCCGAAAGGAACGCUAAUACCGCAUACGUCCUACGGGAGAAAGCAGGGGACCUUCGGGCCUUGCGCUAUCAGAUGAGCCUAGGUCGGAUUAGCUAGUUGGUGGGGUAAUGGCUCACCAAGGCGACGAUCCGUAACUGGUCUGAGAGGAUGAUCAGUCACACUGGAACUGAGACACGGUCCAGACUCCUACGGGAGGCAGCAGUGGGGAAUAUUGGACAAUGGGCGAAAGCCUGAUCCAGCCAUGCCGCGUGUGAAGAAGGUCUUCGGAUUGUAAAG